Molecule: ribosomal RNA, 253 nt
Filed under: uncultured bacterium
Lineage: Bacteria
Description: partial 16S ribosomal RNA
Rfam family: Bacterial small subunit ribosomal RNA
Source: RNAcentral
UACGGGGGGGGCAAGCGUUGUUCGGAAUUACUGGGCGUAAAGGGUUCGUAGGUGGCCUGCUAAGUCAGACGUGAAAUCCCUCAGCUUAACUGGGGAACUGCGUCUGAUACUGGUGGGCUUGAGUGCAGGAGAGGAACGCGGAAUUCCAGGUGUAGCGGUGAAAUGCGUAGAUAUCAGGAGGAACGCCUGUGGUGUAGACAGCUUACUGGACCACUUCUGACGCUGAGACACGAAAGCGUGGGUAGCAAACAGG